GGGUAGCUUGCUACCUGACCUAGCGGCGGACGGGUGAGUAAUGCUUAGGAAUCUGCCUAUUAGUGGGGGACAACAUUCCGAAAGGAAUGCUAAUACCGCAUACGCCCUACGGGGGAAAGCAGGGGAUCUUCGGACCUUGCGCUAAUAGAUGAGCCUAAGUCAGAUUAGCUAGUUGGUGGGGUAAAGGCCUACCAAGGCGACGAUCUGUAGCGGGUCUGAGAGGAUGAUCCGCCACACUGGGACUGAGACACGGCCCAGACUCCUACGGGAGGCAGCAGUGGGGAAUAUUGGACAAUGGGCGAAAGCCUGAUCCAGCCAUGCCGCGUGUGUGAAGAAGGCCUUUUGGUUGUAAAGCACUUUAAGCGAGGAGGAGGCUACUUGGAUUAAUACUCUAGGAUAGUGGACGUUACUCGCAGAAUAAGCACCGGCUAACUCUGUGCCAGCAGCCGCGGUAAUACAGAGGGUGCGAGCGUUAAUCGGAUUUACUGGGCGUAAAGCGUGCGUAGGCGGCUUUUUAAGUCGGAUGUGAAAUCCCUGAGCUUAACUUAGGAAUUGCAUUCGAUACUGGGAAGCUAGAGUAUGGGAGAGGAUGGUAGAAUUCCAGGUGUAGCGGUGAAAUGCGUAGAGAUCUGGAGGAAUACCGAUGGCGAAGGCAGCCAUCUGGCCUAAUACUGACGCUGAGGUACGAAAGCAUGGGGAGCAAACAGGAUUAGAUACCCUGNUAGUCCAUGCCGUAAACGAUGUCUACUAGCCGUUGGGGCCUUUGAGGCUUUAGUGGCGCAGCUAACGCGAUAAGUAGACCGCCUGGGGAGUACGGUCGCAAGACUAAAACUCAAAUGAAUUGACGGGGGCCCGCACAAGCGGUGGAGCAUGUGGUUUAAUUCGAUGCAACGCGAAGAACCUUACCUGGUCUUGACAUAGUAAGAACUUUCCAGAGAUGGAUUGGUGCCUUCGGGAACUUACAUACAGGUGCUGCAUGGCUGUCGUCAGCUCGUGUCGUGAGAUGUUGGGUUAAGUCCCGCAACGAGCGCAACCCUUUUCCUUAUUUGCCAGCGGGUUAAGCCGGGAACUUUAAGGAUACUGCCAGUGACAAACUGGAGGAAGGCGGGGACGACGUCAAGUCAUCAUGGCCCUUACGACCAGGGCUACACACGUGCUACAAUGGUCGGUACAAAGGGUUGCUACCUAGCGAUAGGAUGCUAAUCUCAAAAAGCCGAUCGUAGUCCGGAUUGGAGUCUGCAACUCGACUCCAUGAAGUCG
This 1260-nucleotide ribosomal RNA is filed under the name uncultured Acinetobacter sp. RNAcentral describes it as "bacterial SSU rRNA". It matches the Rfam family "Bacterial small subunit ribosomal RNA", at positions 73 to 1328 of the family's 1533-position model. The record is from RNAcentral. Lineage: Bacteria; Pseudomonadati; Pseudomonadota; Gammaproteobacteria; Moraxellales; Moraxellaceae.